Molecule: ribosomal RNA, 424 nt
Filed under: uncultured bacterium
Lineage: Bacteria
Description: bacterial SSU rRNA
Rfam family: Bacterial small subunit ribosomal RNA
Source: RNAcentral
UAAGGAAUAUUGGUCAAUGGACGCAAGUCUGAACCAGCCAUGCCGCGUGAAGGAUGAAGGUCCUCUGGAUUGUAAACUUCUUUUAUAUGGGACGAAACCCGGGAAUUCUUUCCCGAUUGACGGUACCAUAAGAAUAAGCACCGGCUAACUCCGUGCCAGCAGCCGCGGUAAUACGGAGGGUGCAAGCGUUAUCCGGAUUCACUGGGUUUAAAGGGUGCGUAGGAGGGCAGGUAAGUCAGAGGUGAAAUCUCCGAGCUUAACUCGGAAACUGCCUUUGAUACUAUCUGUCUUGAAUAUUGUGGAGGUGAGCGGAAUAUGUCAUGUAGCGGUGAAAUGCUUAGAUAUGACAUAGAACACCAAUUGCGAAGGCAGCUCGCUACACAUAUAUUGACUCUGAGGCACGAAAGCGUGGGGAUCAAACAGG